Long non-coding RNA from Rhododendron vialii, 547 nucleotides. RefSeq lists it as uncharacterized. The transcript has 3 exons. Lineage: Eukaryota; Viridiplantae; Streptophyta; Magnoliopsida; Ericales; Ericaceae. The record is from RefSeq and is a predicted model, not a curated record.
CAAGACCAAAAAACGCUCUUAUAUAACAUAUAGAGAGAGAAACCCUAGAUCACAAAAAAGAUCUGAGCCUCCCCUCUCUCUCUCCUCCCCUCCCUUGGUGAACCGUCCACCUCCAAAUUCACUCAUCGAGAGGCUCCUCAAGACCUGGUCAUAUCAAGUAACUACAGUGGAUUCUGGCACCAAGGCUUUAAUAUUUCUGAGUUUGGAUGGAGAUGAUCUGAGGAACUCAAAUCAACCUUCUGUUUCCCCAAACGUCCAGCAAAUAUAGAGGUUAUGGGAAUGCUAUUCGGGGGCAGAAAAUCAAAAUUUUGAAGGAUCCGAUGAAGGUUUUAAUGAAGAAACGGUGAAAAAAUAAAGCUCAACCUUCUGUGGCCUCAUCAACAUUCAACUUGGGAUUCAAGGCGCGACUAGAAACAAGAAUAAUGGUGGUAUGAUAUGUAAACAUAUAAUGUUAUUUUUUGAGAUAAAUAAUAUUGUUGGAAAGAUAUGAAGUUGUUUUGAGAACAUAUAAUUUUAUGUCAUGUUUUUUGAGACUUAGAACUACAGA